UACGUAGGGUGCGAGCGUUAAUCGGAAUUACUGGGCGUAAAGCGUGCGCAGGCGGUUUUGUAAGCCAGAUGUGAAAUCCCCGGGCUUAACCUGGGAAUGGCAUUUGGGACUGCAAGGCUUGAGUGCGGCAGAGGAGACUGGAAUUCCUGGUGUAGCAGUGAAAUGCGUAGAUACCAGGAGGAACACCGAUGGCGAAGGCAGGUCUCUGGGCUGACACUGACGCUCAUGCACGAAAGCGUGGGGAGCAAACAGG
RNAcentral lists this ribosomal RNA (253 nucleotides) under uncultured bacterium. RNAcentral's name for it is "partial 16S ribosomal RNA". It matches the Rfam family "Bacterial small subunit ribosomal RNA", at positions 524 to 776 of the family's 1533-position model. The record is from RNAcentral.